CCAUGGGAUGAAGCAAAUGAAGCAAAUGAAGGCAAGAGGUCAAUUUUAUUUCAAAGUCAAAAAUUUCUUCUGUCUCCCCUGCUGCAAGCUCAACCUGCAAACUGAAAACUCUGCCUGUCAUAAUUUGUAGAGCAAAAUGUGUAAUCUGUACAUAAAAUGCUGCAUUGGACAUGAACCUAUGACGUAAGGAGAAGGGAAUUCACCAUUUGUUUAAACACAUGAAGUGUUCAUCACUGGAUGAAUGGGUAAAGAAAAUGUUCAGCCUUAAAAGAGAAGAAAAUCCUGCCAUUUGCACCAACCUGGAUGAACCUGGAGGACAUUGUGCUAAGUGAAAUAAGCCAGACACAGAAAGACAGAUUACUGCGUGAUCUCAUUUUUAUAUGGAAUCUAAAACAUUUCAACUCAUAAAAGCAGAAAGUAGGUAUUUGACAGAGGCUGGAGGAUAGAGAAAUGGGAAGAUGUUGUUCAAAGGAUACACACAUGUGAUUAUGUAGGAUGAAUAAGUUCUCAAGAUCUAAUGUACAGCAUGUGGCCGUAAUUAGUAAUAUAUGUUGUAUUCCUGCAGUUUGCCGAAAGAGUUGAUCCUAAGUUUUCUCACUACAGAAAAUGUAGUAACCGUGUGAGGUGAUGGAUAUAUUAAUUAACUUGAUUGUAGUUAUCGUGUCACAAUGUAUAUGUAUAUUAAACCAUCACUUUGGAUGCCUUAAAUAUAUACAAGUUAUAUUUGUAAAUACCUCAAUAAAGCUGAAAAAAGUGAUAAUUGCGAAAUUUCAACAACUUGAAAUGCCCUCAUCAAAAAACGAUUUAUUUGUAAUCAAAUAGGUGUUAUAUAUUAUACAUUUCAUUGUAUUUUGGUCCUUGAAAGGUAAUUAUCUAUGUAAAAGAAAUUCUUAGCCAAACAAUAUGACAAUAGCUAGAAUGCUUUGCCUGCCCCCAAAUAUUUUUUAACACAUGUGGGUUUUCUAUAUUUUGUUUGACAAGGGAUGGGAGAAGUUUCACCUGUUCUACCAGAAACCAUGAAGUCCUGUUGCUUUAAUGCCUGUUUUUCUCCUGUGCAGAAUAUUUGUUCAAUUUUUUUAUAGUUAAAUAUGAUAUAUGAAAAUCAACCUGAAAAGCAUAAAAUCUAAAUCAUCAGUGAUGAUUAGCCUUACAAAAUGGGUGUC
Molecule: long non-coding RNA, 1163 nt
Organism: Sus scrofa (pig)
Lineage: Eukaryota; Metazoa; Chordata; Mammalia; Artiodactyla; Suidae
Source: RefSeq, a predicted model, not a curated record